CAAAGACUUGUCUGUUUUUAUUCUCUAUGGGGACUGGCAGAAAGCAGUAGAACUAACGAGAGUAACGUAUCUUAUUCUGAAUAAAUAAAAUAAUCUACGUUAUUAUUUAUAUAAUAUAUUUUACAAAACCCAUAGAAAUAAAGUCAUUUUUAGCAUUGAGAUGCUGUUUAGAUUCCUCGGUUAUGUUUAUCACGUAACAAUUAUAAUAGUAUAAGUGAUUUCAGACAGGAUAACGAGUAGAAAAGACAAGACGGGACUUUACAACAGUUUCUGUUCAAACCACACAUUUCCUCUUCUAAACAGAAGAGCCUGACACGUUGAUUUGUGCUCAAAAACAAACGAGUGUUAUUCCUGAGGAGAAGAGGAAGGAUUACUCAGAGGCUGACCUGCAAACCUUCAACAUCAUGUGACUGAGAGAAAGCAGAACAUUCCUGACAAUAACAGAACCUUCUCUAAAUAUGACAGCCUGCAUCAGGUUGAUUUGUGCUUUUUCUGCAAGAAAGAUUUAAAAAAUGUAACAGGAUUAUUAUUACCACUGAUUAGAAGAUGCCAGGUUCUUCAGUGGUUGGAUCCGGGUGGUUCUUCAGAAUAUUCAGAUUUUUUCAGCCGAAUGCAGGUAUAUCAAAUUGACAGGGUGCCCAUCAAAGGGGCUUGGCUGUCAAACUUGUAAAUAUUUUUUUUGGAGAAAUGGGAGGGAAACAAAUGGUCUGAUUGAGAAACCCACCAUUCCUGGUGCAAGGAAUGCCACCACUAAGCCUGGUGUUUGUAUAUUUAGUAAUAUUAAACUUUUCUCACAAAAUUGCAUUUUCAACUGUCAGAAAGCAACUCAAUGUCAACUCAUAUUAACUGUGUUGUGAAGCAUCCUUAUUUCUCCUUAAAGCUGCCACUACUCCUUUUUUGUCUAAAUUCUAUUCUGUAUGAAGAAUUCAAAAAUAGCUUCAGUGGUGUCUUUGACGGUCAGAUUUGAUUAACAUUUUUUUGUUAACAAAUGAGAACUGUACUUUUUUUAGCCAGGUGCACAUUAAUCUGCAAUUCUGGAUAUGAAUUAUAAUAAUAUGCUUAAUAUAUUUUUUUCCCAUCAGAAGAUAAUGAAAAAAUCCCUUUCUGCAACUCUGAAAACCAUCAGAUAGAGGGUGAGAUUUAUGUAAUAUUUUUUCAGCAUGAAGAUACAUUAAUAUAUAUUAUUAUUGUAUUAAAAGUGUUAUGUUGCAGAUUGUGCUAUUUUUGAGAAGUUGUAUCUUGUGGUCAUUGGCUGUCACUAUGCUGGAAAAAAUGAAGUGGGCAACGCUAUCCUUCAAGAGAAAGUUUUCACAAAAUGGGGAAUAUUUUUAAAUAGCCAAGUACAGAAUGAAAGAGAAAUACAUAAUAAAAAGAUUACACUGAUCCGUGUCCCUGGAUGG
Molecule: long non-coding RNA, 1400 nt
Filed under: Astyanax mexicanus (Mexican tetra)
Lineage: Eukaryota; Metazoa; Chordata; Actinopteri; Characiformes; Acestrorhamphidae
Description: lncRNA (ENSAMXG00005013970.1)
Source: RNAcentral